RNAcentral lists this ribosomal RNA (619 nucleotides) under uncultured bacterium. RNAcentral describes it as "bacterial SSU rRNA". The stretch from base 1 to 522 matches the Rfam family "Bacterial small subunit ribosomal RNA", at positions 338 to 873 of the family's 1533-position model. The record is from RNAcentral.
CCUACGGGAGGCAGCAGUGGGGAAUAUUGCGCAAUGGGCGAAAGCCUGACGCAGCAACGCCGCGUGGGGGAUGAAGGCCUUCGGGUUGUAAACCUCUUUCAGCAGGGAAGAAGCGAAAGUGACGGUACCUGCAGAAGAAGCACCGGCUAACUACGUGCCAGCAGCCGCGGUAAUACGUAGGGUGCAAGCGUUGUCCGGAUUUAUUGGGCGUAAAGAGCUCGUAGGCGGUUAGUCACGUCGGAUGUGAAAUCCCGGAGCUUAACUCCGGGCCUGCAUUCGAUACGGGCUGACUCGAGUGUUGUAGGGGAGACUGGAACUCCUGGUGUAGCGGUGAAAUGCGCAGAUAUCAGGAAGAACACCGGUGGCGAAGGCGGGUCUCUGGGCAACUACUGACGCUGAGGAGCGAAAGCGUGGGGAGCAAACAGGAUUAGAUACCCUGGUAGUCCACGCCGUAAACGGUGGGCGCUAGGUGUGGGGAACAUUCCACGUUCUCUGCGCCGCNGCUACGCAUAGACGCCCGCCGUCGGGAGGUACGGCCGGCGAACGGACGUAAACGUUAAACGGUAAAGUUAAGGUACGGCGUUGAGACGUUGCCGAACGGCGACGACGAGGGAGGAGG